This is a non-coding RNA of Phrynosoma platyrhinos (Desert horned lizard), 73 nucleotides long. The record is from the annotation of a GenBank genome assembly. NCBI's taxonomy places the organism in Eukaryota, Metazoa, Chordata, Lepidosauria, Squamata, Phrynosomatidae.
AGCCGGUAUGGUGUAGUGGUUUGAAUGCUGAUCUAUGACUCCAGAGACCAGGGUUUGAUUCCCAGCUCGGCUG